Long non-coding RNA from Clupea harengus (Atlantic herring), 1141 nucleotides. The record is from Ensembl. NCBI's taxonomy places the organism in Eukaryota, Metazoa, Chordata, Actinopteri, Clupeiformes, Clupeidae.
ACCACCGGCCCGGCCUGUCUGCAGCGCGGCGUCUGAGGUCACUGGGCUCCAGCUUGGGGCUAACUCAGGCAUUACACACAAACACCUUUCCUUUGUUUCAUUGGUGCAGGGCCACCUAAAUGUCUCAUGCUAUAAUCUACUACAGGGUUCUUGUGUUCUAAAGGUCUCAUGCUAUAAUCUACUACAGGGUUCUUGUGUUCUAAAGGUCUCAUGCUAUAAUCUACUACAGGGUUCUUGUGUUCUAAAGGUCUCAUGCUAUAUAAUCUACUACAGGGUUUUUGUGUUCUAAAGGUCUCCUGCUAUAUAAUCUACAGGGUUCUUGUGUUCUAAAGGUCUUCUGCAAUAAUCUACAGGGUUCUUGUGUUCUAAAGGUCUCAUGCGAUAAUCUACUACAGGGUUCUAAAGGUCUCCUGCUAUAAUCUACUACAGGGUUCUAAAGGUCUCCUGCUAUAAUCUACAGGGUUCUUGUGUUCUGUUUCGUUAUUUUGGUUUCAUGCUUCACAUAAUCACAAUUGGGAUCCUUAGCAUAAUCACCAGCAUGUUUUAAAUGAUGAUAAUUGAAAUAAACUCUUGUAAAUGAUAGCUACUACACAGAUAAGAGGACAUUGUUGACACAAAGAGGCGAGGUAUCUUACAGAGCCAGAUGGGUAGCUAAAGGAAAUAGACAGGUUGGGAGUCUUGGGACCCAGUAUUCAAUGCACUGCUCAAAUGACAUGAACAGGCUUCUCUUUUCCACUCUCUUUUUUCUUAACUUUUUCUGUUAUUUUUAUUAAUUUUUUAUCCUCAUUUCUCAAUCUAUCUUUCCCUCCUUUCCGUCUCUUUUCUUCUUUUCCUGUGUUCUUUACGAAUCUUCUGUUCAUUCUGUAGCUGGUAGGUCUGCUCCUCCUCAGACUAGUUUUCCUGCUGAACUGCCAGUAGAGGGUUGUGCCCCCCCACACUGAUAGAGAGAUAGAGAGAUAGAGAGAUAGAUAGAGAGAGAGAGAGAGAGAGAGAGAGAGGCAAGGCGUUAGACCUGGGGAUGUGGGCACUGAGAGGGAGAGAACAAGGAAUGGAGGGAGGGAGGGAGGGAUACAGACAAAAGGAGAAGAGGAUUUGCUUCCAGAGAGAGAGAGAGAGAGAGAGAGAGAGAGAGGGGAGGGGG